This 186-nucleotide ribosomal RNA is filed under the name uncultured bacterium. RNAcentral describes it as "partial 16S ribosomal RNA". It matches the Rfam family "Bacterial small subunit ribosomal RNA", at positions 1315 to 1500 of the family's 1533-position model. The record is from RNAcentral.
ACUACAUGAAGCUGGAAUCGCUAGUAAUCGCGAAUCAGAAUGUCGCGGUGAAUACGUUCCCGGGUCUUGUACACACCGCCCGUCACACCAUGGGAGUCAGUAACGCCCGAAGCCGGUGACCUAACCGAAAGGGAGGAGCCGUCGAAGGUGGGACCGAUAACUGGGGUGAAGUCGUAACAAGGUAUC